RNAcentral lists this ribosomal RNA (780 nucleotides) under Mespilia globulus. RNAcentral's name for it is "16S ribosomal RNA". It matches the Rfam family "Bacterial large subunit ribosomal RNA", at positions 1646 to 2769 of the family's 2925-position model. The record is from RNAcentral. Lineage: Eukaryota; Metazoa; Echinodermata; Echinoidea; Temnopleuroida; Temnopleuridae.
ACCGUCUUCCAACGCAGGAGAAAAAAAAAAAAAAAAAAAAAAAAAGGAACUCGGCAAAAGGUGCUUCGCCUGUUUACCAAAAACAUCGCUCCCCGCUAAUUAAUCAUAUGGGGAGUCCUGCCUGCCCAGUGACCAAGGUUAAACGGCCGCGGUAUCUUGACCGUGCAAAGGUAGCAUAAUCACUUGUCUCCUAAAUAGAGACUGGUAUGAAAGGCAAGACGGAGCUAGACUGUCUCUUUUUUUAUAAUUGAAAUUUACUUUCACGUGAAGAGGCGUGGAUAAAAUCGUUAGACGAGAAGACCCUGUCGAGCUUAAAGCAAAAAUUAGAACUAUUUAUACUAGUUUUCAUUUUACUAAUUUAUAAACUUAUAAAACAAAACUUCAAUGCUUCUAAAAAAGCUUUGGUUGGGGCAACCGCGGAAAAAGAAAACCUCCCGCUAACAAACUAUUUAACUAAGGAAAGCCCUCCUACUAUCAAAAAUGAAUACAUGAUCCACUUUAGGUGAUCAAAGGAACAAGUUACCGCAGGGAUAACAGCGUUAUCUUUUUUGAGAGUUCACAUUGACAAAAAGGUUUGCGACCUCGAUGUUGGAUCGGGACAUCCUAAGGGUGCAGAAGCUUUUAAGGGUUGGUCUGUUCGACCAUUAAAGUCCUACGUGAUCUGAGUUCAGACCGGCGAAAGCCAGGUCAGUUUCUAUCUUCGUUAACAUUUUUCUUAGUACGAAAGGACCAGAAAAAAAGUGUCCAUACAACCCUAUUGUAAACACUAAAAUUAAAAAC